This 218-nucleotide long non-coding RNA is filed under the name Lathyrus oleraceus (garden pea). Its description in RNAcentral is "Pisum sativum (pea) long non-coding RNA (PSAT_LNC007181)". The record is from RNAcentral. Lineage: Eukaryota; Viridiplantae; Streptophyta; Magnoliopsida; Fabales; Fabaceae.
UUAAUUACAUGUUUAAUUUAAGAAAAGGAGUUUGAAAAUGCAAUGGCAUAAGGCCAAAGUUUCUAGUUUGCAAAGUGGUCAAAAUUUAGAAAAUAACAAGUUUAAACAAAGAAAUUUUUAAAAGGAGGAAAAGAUUUUGAAAUUAAAGAAAUGGGGGAGGAGAUGAAGAGACCAAUCCUAAGCACAAAUUAAAAAGUUAAGAGUUGGAAAGAUUUGAC